GAGGACGUAGCUGAAACGGUAUAGCACUUGCUUUGCAUGCAAGAGGUACGGGGAUUGAUACACCGCAUUUCCA
Nelumbo nucifera (sacred lotus) is the source of this 73-nucleotide non-coding RNA. The record is from Rfam. Lineage: Eukaryota; Viridiplantae; Streptophyta; Magnoliopsida; Proteales; Nelumbonaceae.